RNAcentral lists this ribosomal RNA (1349 nucleotides) under Diplotriaena anthreptis. Its description in RNAcentral is "SSU rRNA". It matches the Rfam family "Eukaryotic small subunit ribosomal RNA", at positions 303 to 1681 of the family's 1831-position model. The record is from RNAcentral. Lineage: Eukaryota; Metazoa; Nematoda; Chromadorea; Rhabditida; Diplotriaenidae.
CGUUCCGCCUUAUCACUUUCGAUGGUAGUUUAUGUGCCUACCAUGGUUGUAACGGGUAACGGAGAAUAAGGGUUCGACUCCGGAGAGGGAGCCUGAGAAACGGCUACCACAUCCAAGGAAGGCAGCAGGCGCGCAAAUUACCCACUCUCGGAAUGAGGAGGUAGUGACGAAAAAUAACGAGACCGUUCUCUUUGAGGCCGGUUAUCGGAAUGGGUACAAUUUAAACCCGUUAACGAGAAUCUAUGAGAGGGCAAGUCUGGUGCCAGCAGCCGCGGUAAUUCCAGCUCUCAAAGUGUAUAUCGUUAUUGCUGCGGUUAAAAAGCUCGUAGUUGGAUCUUCGUCUUAGGACCUGGUCCGUCCAUUGGACGAGAACUGGGAACCUAGACUUCAUUGGCCAGUUUUCCCUAUGUUACCUUAAUUGGUUGCAUAGGGUGGCGGGCAAGUUUACCUUGAAAAAAUUAGAGUGCUCAAUGCGGGCUAAUGCCUGAAUAUUCGUGCAUGGAAUAAUGAAAUAGGAUCUCGGUUCUAUUUUGUUGGUUUUCUGAUCUGAGAUAAUGGUUAAGAGGGACGGACGGGGGGCAUUCGUAUCGCUGCGUGAGAGGUGAAAUUCUUGGACCGUAGCGAGACGCCCGACUGCGAAAGCAUUUGCCAAGAAUGUCUUCAUUAAUCAAGAACGAAAGUCAGAGGUUCGAAGGCGAUCAGAUACCGCCCUAGUUCUGACCGUAAACGAUACCAACUAGCGUUCCGUUGGCGGUAAAUACGCCUUGACGGGCAGCUUCCCGGAAACGAAAGUGUUUCGGUUCCGGGGGAAGUAUGGUUGCAAAGCUGAAACUUAAAGAAAUUGACGGAAGGGCACCACCAGGAGUGGAGCCUGCGGCUUAAUUUGACUCAACACGGGAAAACUCACCUGGCCCGGACACCGUGAGGAUUGACAGAUUGAGAGCUCUUUCAUGAUUCGGUGGUUGGUGGUGCAUGGCCGUUCUUAGUUGGUGGAGUGAUUUGUCUGGUUUAUUCCGAUAACGAGCGAGACUCUAGCCUACUAAAUAGUUACUGGAUAAGAUCACAAACGUCCAGAUAACUUCUUAGAGGGACAAGCGGUAUUUUAGCCGCAUGAAGUUGAGCAAUAACAGGUCUGUGAUGCCCUUAGAUGUCCAGGGCUGCACGCGCGCUACACUGGAGGAAUCAGCGUGCUGUAACCAUUGCCGAAAGGUAUUGGUAACCCCUUGAAAAUCCUCCGUGAUCGGGAUCGGGAAUUGCAAUUAUUUCCCUUGAACGAGGAAUUCCUAGUAAGUGUGAGUCAUCAGCUCACGUUGAUUACGUCCCUGCCCUUGUCACCCGCCCUGUUGCCC